AACAAUGAAGUAAAAUUUAUUACAUUUAGUUUCGACCUAAUUUUAGAAUUUAUAUUCCUUGUUU
This 64-nucleotide transfer RNA is filed under the name Planopleura kaempferi. Its description in RNAcentral is "tRNA-Arg". Lineage: Eukaryota; Metazoa; Arthropoda; Insecta; Hemiptera; Cicadidae. The record is from RNAcentral.